CAAUAAGAGUGUUUAUGGCACUCUUCCAAAAAUCCAUACCCACCUUGUGUGCAACGUAAGAAGAAAAAAAAAAAGGACGCGAGCCAUGGGAGACCAAGACUUGCCCUUUUCUUUUUCUUUUCCACAUACACCUUUCUAUAAGUUCCUAUUGUCUGAAGCUGUUAGAGAAUGACUAAUUCUUAAACA
Molecule: unclassified non-coding RNA, 186 nt
Filed under: uncultured Mortierella
Lineage: Eukaryota; Fungi; Mortierellomycota; Mortierellomycetes; Mortierellales; Mortierellaceae
Description: sequence contains ITS1
Source: RNAcentral